This 343-nucleotide unclassified non-coding RNA is filed under the name soil metagenome. RNAcentral describes it as "partial contains 5.8S ribosomal RNA, internal transcribed spacer 2, and large subunit ribosomal RNA". The stretch from base 1 to 120 matches the Rfam family "5.8S ribosomal RNA", at positions 35 to 154 of the family's 154-position model. The record is from RNAcentral.
GAUGAAGAACGCAGCGAAAUGCGAUAAGUAAUGUGAAUUGCAGAAUUCAGUGAAUCAUCGAAUCUUUGAACGCACAUUGCGCCCGCCAGCAUUCUGGCGGGCAUGCCUAUUCGAGCGUCAUUUCAACCCUCGAGCCCCCCCGGGGGCCUCGGUGUUGGGGGACGGCACACCAGCCGCCCCCGAAAUGCAGUGGCGACCCCGCCGCAGCCUCCCCUGCGUAGUAGCACACACCUCGCACCGGAGCGCGGAGGCGGUCACGCCGUAAAACGCCCAACUUUCUUAGAGUUGACCUCGGAUCAGGUAGGAAUACCCGCUGAACUUAAGCAUAUCAAUAAGCGGAGGA